This 200-nucleotide long non-coding RNA is filed under the name Elaeis guineensis (African oil palm). Its description in RNAcentral is "long non-coding RNA (EGUI_LNC037814)". The record is from RNAcentral. Lineage: Eukaryota; Viridiplantae; Streptophyta; Magnoliopsida; Arecales; Arecaceae.
UUCUUUCAAGAUUCUGAGGAUAGUAAUCAAAUUAUUGAUCUUCAUUUUCUCUAUCAGAUUCUUCAAAUACUUCUGGAGAGAAAACUUUGGUAUUAGUUUCUUCUGGAUAGAAUUCAUCUUCUUCUAUUUUUUCAAGAUAGAUGGAUUCUAUAUCAUUUUGUAGUUCAUCUUGAUCCUAGUCCUCAAUAUCGAAGGCUUCA